UAUGUGAUCGUCUCUCGCAUAUCAAUAAGCGGAGGAAAAGAAACUAACAAGGAUUCCCCUAGUAACGGCGAGUGAAGCGGGAAGAGCUCAAAUUUGAAAUCUUAAAGGGUUUCCCUUUACGAAUGUAGUUUAAAGAAGUGUUUUCUGUUGAGGUUUUGGUAAAAGUUCUUUGGAAUAGGACAUCAUAGAGGGUGAGAAUCCCGUAUUUGACCUUUACUUUCAACUUUGUGAUACACUUUCAAAGAGUCGGAUUGUUUGGGAAUGCAGUCCAAAAUGGGUGGUAAAUUUCAUCUAAAGCUAAAUAUUGGCGAGAGACCGAUAGCGAACAAGUACCGUGAGGGAAAGAUGAAAAGAACUUUGAAAAGAGAGUUAAACAGUACGUGAAAUUGUCAAAAGGGAAGCGUUUGACACCAGUGUUGUUUUUCUGAAAAUCAAUUAAAGAACUGUUUAUGCUAAGUUGUUUAGACUUUAUCAGCUAUACUGUUUAGUUUUGAGCUUUUCUUUAAUGCACUUUUCAGUUAACAAGUCAACAUCAAUUUCUUUUGCUGUAAAAAAGCUUGAGGAAGGUGGCUUGAGAUUCGUCUUAAGUGUUUAUAGCCUCUUGCCUAUGCAGUCGGAGAGAUUGAGGUCUGCAGCGUAGAUCCUUCGGGGCUAAAUGCAUUUGUGCUAAGUUAUAGCAUUUUAUAGACAACUUGUUGACUAUGAUUUGUCUUGUAGCUUACUCGCUUAUGUUAUUUUACCUACGCUUAGGAUGUUGAGUAGCGACAUACGCAC
This 774-nucleotide ribosomal RNA is filed under the name uncultured Neocallimastigales. Its description in RNAcentral is "partial large subunit ribosomal RNA". It matches the Rfam family "Eukaryotic large subunit ribosomal RNA", at positions 24 to 649 of the family's 3401-position model. The record is from RNAcentral. Lineage: Eukaryota; Fungi; Neocallimastigomycota; Neocallimastigomycetes; Neocallimastigales.